GACAGAGGGUGCAAACGUUGUUCGGAAUUACUGGGCGUAAAGCGCGUGUAGGCGGCUAAGUAAGUCGGGCGUGAAAUCCCACGGCUCAACCGUGGAAGUGCACUCGAAACUGCAUAGCUAGAGUCCUGGAGAGGAAGGUGGAAUGCUUGGUGUAGAGGUGAAAUUCGUAGAUAUCAAGCGGAACACCGGUGGCGAAGGCGGC
Molecule: ribosomal RNA, 202 nt
Filed under: uncultured bacterium
Lineage: Bacteria
Description: partial 16S ribosomal RNA
Rfam family: Bacterial small subunit ribosomal RNA
Source: RNAcentral